CUUAUGUUUGUAUGAGGAGCAAAUCAUGGGACCCAUUUCUAUCUUGGGAUGAUAUCCAAUAUAAUUGUCUAAUUGUCUUCUGCGAAGGGGCCUGGUCAUAUCAUGAGAAAUGUUUCCAACCUCCCUCACAUGUCAGCCAAGUGGUAUCUUCUAACUACAGGCUGGAUUGGCUUUCUAAGUGCAGAGACUUGUUGCUGGUGACUUUGCCCCUUUUAUCUGGACUUAGGAAUGGCAAUACUCAGCUUCUGCUGGGAAUUUGCUGGGUAUAUCGGCUACAAACUGUCAAGCCAUCUUAAGUCUUAUCAAGUGAUAGCAUGCAUAUCGGUCUUCUCGCUGCAGCUGUUCAUGCCGUUUAAACAAUUAGUCGGCUUACAAUUUUCUACAGCCCAAGGCAAGCCCUUCAGAUUUUGUCAUACCGCUUGCAAAGUCUGUUAAGACUGUAUACUAUACCAGUGUAUCUGUGGGGAUGUGUUUCAAGAUGCUUUUUGAGACAGGAGAGUCUAGCGUGAGGAGAUAAGUUCAAAUCUGUUUGCAACAUCACCUCGUUAUUGAAGUGGGAGAAACGAAAGACGACUAGUCUUUUUCGUGGUCUCGAUCCACAUUCUAUUCCAGCAGAAGAACUGUCGGCAUCUUUGAGGUACACGCUACAUUCCAUCAAUAUUGCAGUCCGUAUCCUAUCCACGAUUGUUCUUCAUGGAUCAGGCUUUAAGAGUUCCUACUGAAGUAUAUGACAGUCCCAGAGCAAGGUUUACCCUCUUUUUAUACCUAGGAAAAAUGUUUGCACAGGUGGUGAAGAAACCCCAUUGACAGAAAGUGGUUCGAGUUACUUUGGAGCUGACUCUGGAUUCUGUCAAGAAACAGUCUUUUGGUUCCAAGAGAAGCAAUAGUUUUAGUUUCUCUGGUGCAUCUUCUCACUCCAUGGAGAGGCAUCGAUAUUUGCAGAGAGGAAUGUUGUCGUCAUCAAAGGCCCUUCGAACUGCUUUUGAAUCGAACAUUGCUUCAAGGUCAGAAAAGCAAGCGCAGCCGCUAAACAGAUUGAUUUGAAGUGAAGUUCAGCCGUAUCAUCAGACAUCAUGCACACAACCAUCAUGGUAAAUUCCUGUUCAGCACGCACAGUAGGUCUCCGUGUGCUCUGUACGGCCUAGUGCUGCUGCGCUAGCUGGUUGGGUGCGUCCGUGCGUGGACGCGCUGUAGCAACCAGGGCACCCCUGUCCAUGGUCGCGAUCGCGGCCUCCGCUGGCCUGGCCCUUGGCGUGUGCGGGGCGUAGAGACGGAGGAGAAUGUUGUACUAUGUGCGGGCGCGGCGAGCGAAGCCGGCUGGACCAGACCAGACCACACCAGGGCCAGAGCCAGGGCCACGUGGCAUUGGCUCGGCGUAGAGAACGUCCUCCCAAUAUCUAUGAAUUUACUACAAUAUACGUCUCAUUAUUUUUAGAUUCAUAUAUGUAUCCAUCACGGGGGCCUCCGGCCUCGUUAUAGCAAGUAUGGGCUGACUGUAAUAUAAUAUCCAACUCCGAUUCAAAACUGUAAUGUUUAUUACAAAAUUUGACUU
Molecule: RNA transcript, 1552 nt
Organism: Zea mays
Lineage: Eukaryota; Viridiplantae; Streptophyta; Magnoliopsida; Poales; Poaceae
Exons: 10
Source: RefSeq, marked validated